RNA transcript from Python bivittatus (Burmese python), 974 nucleotides. It is a transcript of the gene named centromere protein L, with no coding region annotated. NCBI's taxonomy places the organism in Eukaryota, Metazoa, Chordata, Lepidosauria, Squamata, Pythonidae. The record is from RefSeq and is a predicted model, not a curated record.
ACUGCCUAUAAAGCGGGUGGUUGUGGCCCGCGCUUUCUCUUUUGGAUUCUGCUUUCGGUGGGCCUGUGUAAAGCUAUGCAAAAUCUCAAGGCUAUGCUGUCUGUAAAGGGUUUCACAAGUAAUUCUGUGCUCAUGGAACAAGGAUUGAUUCUAUAUUUGCAAAUAUGGAACCCUACCCAUCGAUGUGCUGGCCUUCAGGUUCUCUAAGAUGGAUCAGCUUUAGAUGAUCAAAUAUGUUUUAAUGACUAAGCUGUUUUCUGAAGAACCAUAAGAAAAGGACUUGGGGUGACACUGAAGAGCUUUUUAAGAGUAAAGCUACUGACAGUGGUUCUGAGGAUGGAAUUAUUAGUUUGAGCUGUUAGAAGUUGACUAUUCUACGUGACUUGAUCUCGUGAACAAGUGGCAGCUGGAUAGAAUAAUAGUUUGGACUUCACAAUAUAUUGGUAGUUAAUGAACUGACAUUUGGCUUUCAAGAUCUGAGAAGCUAUCCAGAAUUCACACAUUGUUCACACAUCAUGCUGAACCAAAGGAAUUACUACUUAGAGCACUGAUACCUCUGAGAAUUUCACAUCAAAAAUCCGUACAACGCUCUCAAUACCUCCCAGCAUGGCCAAAUUGCACUGGAUACCCAGUAAUGACCUCAGCAACAUCUACAUGUAGUUGAAGAUCCUCCAUGCAUAAAGGCAACACAGCAGAACUCCCAAAAUGUCAAGGCUGCAUCUGAUUGUCCAUAUUAUUAUAUGACAAUAGUAACAGGGCAUGAUGUCUUUUGAACAUAUUCUUUGCACAGACAAAACCUCAGAUUCCAUCUUGGUCACACACAUCAUUGGAACACAUUUCUGCCUUUGAAAAGAUUUGUAUGGUAUAAUGAAAAAGUGCCCUUGAUGCUUUCAACAGUUCACUUUUCUGCACAAAUAGUACAGAUAAUCUGUCCACUAGUGACAAAUUUAGAGUUUCUGCUGAAUAUGCUAACA